RNAcentral lists this transfer RNA (72 nucleotides) under Flavobacteriaceae bacterium. RNAcentral's name for it is "tRNA-Gly". It matches the Rfam family "tRNA". Rfam says of the family: Transfer RNA (tRNA) molecules are approximately 80 nucleotides in length. Their secondary structure includes four short double-helical elements and three loops (D, anti-codon, and T loops). Further hydrogen bonds mediate the characteristic L-shaped molecular structure. tRNAs have two regions of fundamental functional importance: the anti-codon, which is responsible for specific mRNA codon recognition, and the 3' end, to which the tRNAs corresponding amino acid is attached (by aminoacyl-tRNA synthetases). tRNAs cope with the degeneracy of the genetic code in two manners: having more than one tRNA (with a specific anti-codon) for a particular amino acid; and 'wobble' base-pairing, i.e. permitting non-standard base-pairing at the 3rd anti-codon position. Lineage: Bacteria; Pseudomonadati; Bacteroidota; Flavobacteriia; Flavobacteriales; Flavobacteriaceae. The record is from RNAcentral.
CGAGAGUAGCUCAGUUGGUAGAGCGUCAGCCUUCCAAGCUGAUGGUCGCCGGUUCGAACCCGGUCUCUCGCU